RNAcentral lists this unclassified non-coding RNA (424 nucleotides) under Hevea brasiliensis (rubber tree). The record is from RNAcentral. Lineage: Eukaryota; Viridiplantae; Streptophyta; Magnoliopsida; Malpighiales; Euphorbiaceae.
ACGGGCGGCAUGCAUGCAGAGGCGAAGGCCUCCACGUCCGUGAGAGCCUCGCACAUCCUCAUCAAUCACGAGGGAUCGCGACGCAAGGCCUCGUGGAAGGAUCCCGAGGGCCGCAUCAUCGGAGCCACCACGCGCGAUGCCGCCGUCGCCCAGCUCCGCGUCUUCCGGGAGGACAUCGUCGCCGGAAGAGCCCGAUUCGAGGACAUCGCGAAACAACACUCCGACUGCAGCUCCGCCAAGCGCGGCGGCGACCUAGGUUCUUUUGGUCCGCGCCAGAUGCAGAAGCCUUUUGAGGAUGCUACAUUUGCUCUGCAAGUGGGUGAGAUUAGUGACAUUGUGGAUACUGACAGCGGAGCCCAUAUCAUCCUCAGGACUGGUUAAACUAGGGUAAAAUCUUCAGCGUCUGGGAGCCCAAUUCGACGUA